UACGGAGGGGGCUAGCGUUGUUCGGAAUUACUGGGCGUAAAGCGCGUGUAGGCGGCUUUGCAAGUCGGAUGUGAAAUCCCACGGCUCAACCGUGGAAGUGCAUCCGAAACUGCAUCGCUGGAGUCUCGGAGAGGAAGGUGGAAUGCUUGGUGUAGAGGUGAAAUUCGUAGAUAUCAAGCAGAACACCUGCGGCGAAGGCGGCCUUCUGGACGAUGACUGACGCUGAGACGCGAAAGCGUGGGGAGCAAACAGG
RNAcentral lists this ribosomal RNA (253 nucleotides) under uncultured bacterium. RNAcentral describes it as "partial 16S ribosomal RNA". It matches the Rfam family "Bacterial small subunit ribosomal RNA", at positions 524 to 776 of the family's 1533-position model. The record is from RNAcentral.